GGGGGACUAGCUAAGUGGUAAAGCACAUGCUUAGCAUGCAUGAGGCCCUGGAUUCAAUCCCUGGUACCUUU
RNAcentral lists this transfer RNA (71 nucleotides) under Camelus bactrianus (Bactrian camel). It matches the Rfam family "tRNA". From Rfam's summary of the family: Transfer RNA (tRNA) molecules are approximately 80 nucleotides in length. The record is from Rfam by way of RNAcentral. RNAcentral also lists the same sequence under 2 other names. Lineage: Eukaryota; Metazoa; Chordata; Mammalia; Artiodactyla; Camelidae.